This is a long non-coding RNA of Hyla sarda, 765 nucleotides long. RefSeq lists it as uncharacterized. The record is from RefSeq and is a predicted model, not a curated record. The transcript is spliced from 4 exons. NCBI's taxonomy places the organism in Eukaryota, Metazoa, Chordata, Amphibia, Anura, Hylidae.
UCUGGACAGGUUUUGAUAAAUCUCCCCCACUGUGUGGAGACUGUAACAAUCUCCCACAGCAGUUCCUGGACCACUUGUACAGCAGGGACGGUAUUGCAGCUUCCGGUCACCAGGGGGAGCUCAUCACAGCAGACUCGCACAGCAGGAACAUAGCGUACGGUUGCAGUGGGUUGAGAACAUCAGCAGCAAAGCAGAAAGAACGCAUCAUCAGGAGAUCAUUGCCUGUUAAAUUUCUUCACUGAACUGAUAAAUGAAGAAAAUGUAUUGCUCCAGUGGAGCACAAUGUGCUUACAUGUGGUUAUUACCGCACGUCAGGCCAAGACCAAAGAGCUGUCCAAGGAUGUCAGGGACAAGAUUGUAGACCUACGCAAGGCUGGAAUGACCAAGCAGGUACGUGCUAAGCUUAUAACAGUUGGUGCGAAUAUUUGCAAAUCGAAGAAAAAUAAGUUGGGGGCUGCAUGCAACAUCUCACCUUGUAAGAUUUGAUGAUCAUGAGAACAAUUAGAAAUCAGCCCAGAACUACAUCUUGUCAAUAAGCUCAAGGCAUCUGGAACCAUAGUCACCAAGAAAACAAUUGGUCACAAUCUAUGCCAUGAAGGACUGAAAUCUUGCAACACCUACAAGGUCCCCCUGCUCAAAAAGAAAAGCUGCCUAUGACAACAAGAACGGCAUCCCCAUCGUGAAACAUGCAGGAGGAAACAUUAUGCUUUGGGGGUGUUUUUCUUCUAAGUGUACAGGACAACUUUACUGCAUUAAAGGACGAUA